GAUGAACGCUGGCGGCGUGCCUAAUACAUGCAAGUCGAGCGAACGGACGAGAAGCUUGCUUUUCUGAUGUUAGCGGCGGACGGGUGAGUAACACGUGGAUAACCUACCUAUAAGACUGGGAUAACUUCGGGAAACCGGAGCUAAUACCGGAUAAUAUUUUGAACCGCAUGGUUCAAAAGUGAAAGACGGUCUUGCUGUCACUUAUAGAUGGAUCCGCGCUGCAUUAGCUAGUUGGUAAGGUAACGGCUUACCAAGGCAACGAUGCAUAGCCGACCUGAGAGGGUGAUCGGCCACACUGGAACUGAGACACGGUCCGGACUCCUACGGGAGGCAGCAGUAGGGAAUCUUCCGCAAUGGGCGAAAGCCUGACGGAGCAACGCCGCGUGAGUGAUGAAGGUCUUCGGAUCGUAAAACUCUGUUAUUAGGGAAGAACAUAUGUGUAAGUAACUGUGCACAUCUUGACGGUACCUAAUCAGAAAGCCACGGCUAACUACGUG
Molecule: ribosomal RNA, 497 nt
Filed under: uncultured bacterium
Lineage: Bacteria
Description: partial 16S ribosomal RNA
Rfam family: Bacterial small subunit ribosomal RNA
Source: RNAcentral